Vicia faba (fava bean) is the source of this 222-nucleotide non-coding RNA. The record is from the annotation of a GenBank genome assembly. Lineage: Eukaryota; Viridiplantae; Streptophyta; Magnoliopsida; Fabales; Fabaceae.
AUGCGAAAUCCUGAUAAAGCAUGGGGGUUCGAUUGCAGAACCCUUCCUCGCUUGACGACUCAAUACACAAGAGCAGGCACAACUCUGAAGCUUCAUGGUGCGUCACGAGCUAAGGAUGACACAGACGAAGUUGCGGGGGUCGAUUUCUUGCUAACCCUCCCCGCUCGCCUCCUUUUGAGGACUUCGAUAAGGGAUGGGGGAAUAAUGCGGGAACAAAUAUAA